GCAAACUUGGUCAUUUAGAGGAAGUAAAAGUCGUAACAAGGUUUCCGUAGGUGAACCUGCGGAAGGAUCAUUAACAAUUGUCCACAACAAUGGAUAAUUUAUCCAUAUCCACCUUGUGUGAAUCUAUUGAAAUGUUUGUUGGCAGGUUAAGCUUUUCUUUUGGAGAGCUGUGUGGGGUUUACACGGCCUGCCAAUUUUAUUCUGUUUAAACUUGUCUAAAUGUUUAACUGUCUGAAAUUACACAUAUUAUAAUAAAUACAACUUUCAACAACGGAUCUCUUGGCUCUCGCAUCGAUGAAGAACGCAGC
Molecule: unclassified non-coding RNA, 308 nt
Filed under: uncultured fungus
Lineage: Eukaryota; Fungi
Description: partial contains small subunit ribosomal RNA, internal transcribed spacer 1, and 5.8S ribosomal RNA
Rfam family: Eukaryotic small subunit ribosomal RNA (bases 1-73)
Source: RNAcentral